GAUGAACGCUGGCGGCGUGCCUAAUACAUGCAAGUCGAGCGAACGGACGAGAAGCUUGCUUCUCUGAUGUUAGCGGCGGACGGGUGAGUAACACGUGGAUAACCUACCUAUAAGACUGGGAUAACUUCGGGAAACCGGAGCUAAUACCGGAUAAUAUUUUGAACCAUGCGGUUCAAAAGUGAAAGACGGUCUUGCUGUCACUUAUAGAUGGAUCCGCGCUGCAUUAGCUAGUUGGUAAGGUAACGGCUUACCAAGGCAACGAUGCAUAGCCGACCUGAGAGGGUGAUCGGCAACACUGGAACUGAGACACGGUCCAGACUCCUACGGGAGGCAGCAGUAGGGAAUCUUCCGCAAUGGGCGAAAGCCUGACGGAGCAACGCCGCGUGAGUGAUGAAGGUCUUCGGAUCGUAAAACUCUGUUAUUAGGGAAGAACAUAUGUGUAAGUAACUGUGCACAUCUUGACGGUACCUAAUCAGAAAGCCACGGCUAACUACGUG
RNAcentral lists this ribosomal RNA (497 nucleotides) under uncultured bacterium. RNAcentral describes it as "partial 16S ribosomal RNA". It matches the Rfam family "Bacterial small subunit ribosomal RNA", at positions 28 to 507 of the family's 1533-position model. The record is from RNAcentral.